Long non-coding RNA from Fukomys damarensis (Damara mole-rat), 466 nucleotides. RefSeq lists it as uncharacterized. The record is from RefSeq and is a predicted model, not a curated record. NCBI's taxonomy places the organism in Eukaryota, Metazoa, Chordata, Mammalia, Rodentia, Bathyergidae. The transcript is spliced from 3 exons.
GGCAAUUUCUGCUGCUAUUCCAGCCUAACAGUCUGGUUUAUAGAAGAAGGUGAAAAAGGAGAAAGAAAAGAUAUGGAAAAGAAGGGAAAGAUGAUCCAACUAAUGACAUCGUUUGACCCAGAUAUGGAAGUGGUUGAUUUUUCCUGAACAGCUGGCUGGACUUAAAAUCUCCAAAGAAUGCCCUUAUCUUUGAAAAACACAGUGCCGCAUUUAUGAAGUCAUAAAAACCCCUGGAAAAGGAGCAAAAUUCAAGACAAACCAUUACUAAGGUCAUUUGAUCCUCGUGGCAAUUCCAUGUUACAAAGGCAAAACCAGGCAUCCAGAUACCGAGAAAUGUGUCCGAGGCUGCCGGUCCCAGACAUCUGAAGCCAAGCGGUCUGACUUCAGAAUCACCAUGGAACUACCGUGGUAUACAAAGUCCUCUUUCUGCUCUUUGAUAUUGGCCUGGUAUAAAAUAAAAUAAAGA